AGUCCUUGGGUCUGAGAGAAGGUGCUGAGCGAGGCUGGUCAGCCCUGUAGAAGUCUCCAUCGUAACCAAAGUCAUAACCACCACCGCUUACACCUGGAGGUCCAACUGUACCAGGAUGUCCAGUGCGACCAUCUUUUCCAGCAGGGCCAGAAGGACCAGCAGGGCCCUAAGGAAGACAGACACCAGGUACAUGUGAGCUGGUGAAUCCCACCAAGGGAGCAGCAGCCUGGGGCUCACUGCUCGCUUUAGCCUCUAUUUCAGAGAUGAACUGUCUUCUC
Molecule: long non-coding RNA, 278 nt
Filed under: Homo sapiens (human)
Lineage: Eukaryota; Metazoa; Chordata; Mammalia; Primates; Hominidae
Description: HSALNT0125752
Source: RNAcentral